Unclassified non-coding RNA from Lingula anatina, 210 nucleotides. The record is from RefSeq and is a predicted model, not a curated record. Lineage: Eukaryota; Metazoa; Brachiopoda; Lingulata; Lingulida; Lingulidae.
CGAAUACUUUUCCAAACAGCUCAAUUUCUGAGACAGGAAUGAAGUAUUAUGCUAAGGUGUUUGCAAACUGCAGUGACAAGUCAGAUUAUCCUAAAGGUGUGACAGCGAUCAGAGACCCUGAUUCCGACCAUGGUAAAGUUCGUUUUAUGUGGUGUGAAGAUGGCUGGACUGUAAUCCACAGACGCACUGGACCUGAGCUGUCAUUUAACC